This 219-nucleotide non-coding RNA is filed under the name Alistipes sp. CHKCI003. The record is from RNAcentral. Lineage: Bacteria; Pseudomonadati; Bacteroidota; Bacteroidia; Bacteroidales; Rikenellaceae. RNAcentral also lists the same sequence under 1 other name.
UUACCUUUGCCGCGCCAAGGUUUCCGAAGUAAGCUCAGGCUUACGGGAAUCAAUAGGGAACGCCGUGCAAUUCGGCGACAGUACCUGCUGCUGUGAGUUCCGGUCCUCCCGACAGGGAGAGGACGACUCCGCCACACAUAGCCACUGAUCCUCGGCGAUCGGGAAGGCGUCGGCGGAGAGGGGACAAGUCAGAAGACCUGCCUUGCGCACAUGCGUUAC